RNAcentral lists this ribosomal RNA (254 nucleotides) under uncultured bacterium. RNAcentral's name for it is "partial 16S ribosomal RNA". It matches the Rfam family "Bacterial small subunit ribosomal RNA", at positions 524 to 776 of the family's 1533-position model. The record is from RNAcentral.
UACGUAGGGAGCAAGCGUUGUUCGGAUUUACUGGGCGUAAAGGGCGCGUAGGCGGCAAAUUAAGUCAGCUGUGAAAUCUCCGAGCUUAACUCGGAACGGUCAGCUGAUACUGAUCUGCUAGAGUGCGGAAGGGGCAAUCGGGAAUUCUUGGUGUAGCGGUGAAAUGCGUAGAUAUCGAGAGGAACACCAGUGGCGAAGGCGAGUCUCUGGACGACUCCUGACACUGAGGCACGAAAGCGUGGGGAGCAAACAGG